AUUGAACGCUGGCGGCAUGCCUUACACAUGCAAGUCGAACGGCAGCAUGGGUGCUUGCACCUGAUGGCGAGUGGCGAACGGGUGAGUAAUGCAUCGGAACGUACCCGGAAGUGGGGGAUAACGUAGCGAAAGUUACGCUAAUACCGCAUAUUCUGUGAGCAGGAAAGCGGGGGAUCGCAAGACCUCGCGCUUCCGGAGCGGCCGAUGUCGGAUUAGCUAGUUGGCGGGGUAAAGGCCCACCAAGGCAACGAUCCGUAGCGGGUCUGAGAGGAUGAUCCGCCACACUGGGACUGAGACACGGCCCAGACUCCUACGGGAGGCAGCAGUGGGGAAUUUUGGACAAUGGGGGCAACCCUGAUCCAGCCAUGCCGCGUGAGUGAAGAAGGCCUUCGGUUGUAAGACUCUUCGCUGGAGAAUACGCAUCUCCUAUACGGGUGGUGGAGUGACGGUACCAGCGAUAAGAAGCACCGGCUAACUACGUGCC
Molecule: ribosomal RNA, 484 nt
Filed under: uncultured bacterium
Lineage: Bacteria
Description: bacterial SSU rRNA
Rfam family: Bacterial small subunit ribosomal RNA
Source: RNAcentral